Long non-coding RNA from Peromyscus eremicus (cactus mouse), 585 nucleotides. RefSeq lists it as uncharacterized. The record is from RefSeq and is a predicted model, not a curated record. Lineage: Eukaryota; Metazoa; Chordata; Mammalia; Rodentia; Cricetidae. The transcript is spliced from 3 exons.
CUGCAGGGUCAUCUUUGAAUCCAGUCAUCCAUGUUUAUGUGAACAACGCCAAGAUCAGAGUCUUUCUCACAUUCAUGAUCUCCAAAGGAAAUGAAGGGUUGGCAUCUAAAGGUGGCAGUGUGUGUGACAAGAGCGAGGACUGCAGUGAAAACCAGCCUGGACACAAAGUUCGUUGAAAGAGGAUAGGACCAGGACCAUAAUUCAGUGACAGACUUCUCCAGAUCAGCUGUUGCAUGCCCUCGACUACUCCCCCUUGUGGACACAAGUAGACUUUCCAAUUGUGUCUCCCACCUGCCUUCCUUUGGAUCCAGGGCAUUGGUAUCCCUGUCCUCAAGGAAUGAUUUAGAAUGAACAAUGUAUUAUGACCUAGGAAAGAAGAGGGUAGAGAUUCAAUACACACCAAGCUCCUGUUUUUAUCAACAUGAUCUAACAAUACAAGUCAGGAACUAGAAAUGAACUUCAUGGUCAGGUCCGAAUUCAAGAGGCUGGUCGGAUACAGCAGAAAAGAACAGGAGCUUUGGUACACCACUUGCAUGCCCAUGUCCACGUCCUUAAGCUGCUACUGAGAACUGUGCCCCCAAGUCA